UACGGAGGGUGCAAGCGUUAUCCGGAAUCAUUGGGUUUAAAGGGUCCGCAGGCGGACGUAUAAGUCAGUGGUGAAAGCCUACAGCUUAACUGUAGAACUGCCAUUGAUACUGUAUGUCUUGAAUUCGGUCGAAGUGGGCGGAAUGUGUCAUGUAGCGGUGAAAUGCAUAGAUAUGACACAGAACACCGAUAGCGAAGGCAGCUCACUAGGCCUGGAUUGACGCUCAUGGACGAAAGCGUGGGGAGCGAACAGG
RNAcentral lists this ribosomal RNA (253 nucleotides) under uncultured bacterium. Its description in RNAcentral is "partial 16S ribosomal RNA". It matches the Rfam family "Bacterial small subunit ribosomal RNA", at positions 524 to 776 of the family's 1533-position model. The record is from RNAcentral.